This 370-nucleotide ribosomal RNA is filed under the name Rhipicephalus appendiculatus. RNAcentral describes it as "partial 12S ribosomal RNA". The record is from RNAcentral. Lineage: Eukaryota; Metazoa; Arthropoda; Arachnida; Ixodida; Ixodidae.
CCCUAUUAUUUAAGAGCUAAAUAUUGUAAGUAUAUAAUAAUUACGAAAGCAAAAAAUUAUGGCGGUAUUUUAAGCUUUUCAGAGGAAUUUGCUCUUUAAUGGAUAAAACACCUAAAUCUUACUUAAAUUUGUUAAAUCAACUUGUAUACCACUAUUAAAACAAUUAUUAACUCUAAUUGUUAAUAUUUAAAACAUAAAUUAAUUUAAAUUAAGUCAAGGUGCAGUAAAAAUUUAAGAAUGAAGUGAAUUACAUUACUUUUAAGGGAAAUAAAAUUAAAUAAAGUUUAGGAUUUGAAAGUAAAAUUAAAAUAGAAUGUUAAUUUGAAUUAAGCUCUAAAAUAUGUACAUAUCGCCCGUCACUCUUUUUUAA